AGUCAUAUAGUAUGUACUUUCGUUUAAGUCUUCCUUCACUCAGUAUACUCAGUAUAAUGUUUUUGAGAUUUCAUCUUGUUAGUGUAUACAUAUUCAUAGCCCACUCCUUUUUUUUUUUUUUUGAGACGGAGUUUCGCUCUUGUUACCCAGGCUGGAGUACAAUGGUGCGAUCUCUGCUCACUGCAACCUCCGCCUCCUGGGUUCAGGCAAUUCUCCUGCCUCAGCCUCCUGAGAACGGCUUAAGGUAUGAAUAGCAGGUGGUAGAGAUCCUUGAGGACCAUCUAAGAGGCUGGCCAUAUGAAGACCGAAUGUCCUAACAAUUUAGCUAUUGGGAAUUCAAGGACAACAAGAAGAUAGAGAUUUUUGUCUCUAUGGUUGAUAAUACCUAAAUAAAAACUAAAACAAAAAAAACCUGGCACAUAGUAGAUGUCCAGUUAAUAUUAAAUAAAUGAAUUAAUUUUAAUAUUAAAGGAAACAAAUUGAUAUUAAAGGAACAUUAUUGUUAUCCUGCAGGAACAGGAUAAGAUCUGGGUAUUGGUUCCAUUUGUCUUCUUUACUAUAUUUUGCUUAAGAUUCAAUUGAUUUGCAUAUGAUCACUGACCAUAAGAGAAUCUUUUCUCUUAGUGGAAAAGAAAAUUAAAUUGAGAGUAUAAUAUUUGCUAGAUAAAAAUCUGCUUCUUCAAUUUGAAUGUCACACUUUAUUUUGCCUAGCUCUUCUUCUUUUUGAGUUUAGGAGCAGAGGUUUAUUUUUAUUUAUUUAAAAAACUUUAAGACAGAGUCUUGCUCCACCAUGCUGGAAUGCAGUAGUGUGAUCUUGGCUCACUGCAACCUCUGCCUCCCAGGUUCAAGCAAUUCUCCUGCCUCAGCUUCCUGAGUAGCUGGGACUACAGGCAUGUGCAACCAUGGCCAGCUGAUUUUUGUAUUUUUAGUAGAGAUGGGAGUUCACCAUGUUGGCCAGGCUGGUCUCGAGCUUCUGAACUCAUGAUCCACCUUGGCCUCCCAAAGUGCUGGGAUUACAGUUGUGAGCCACAGGAGCAGAGAUUUAAAAGAAAAGAAAGAGAAAGGAGAGCAGCCCUCUUUCUCUCGUGAGAGAGAGGGGUGUCUGAAAGGGAAAUGCCUGCAUAGCUCCUGAGAAUCAUCAAUUAGUGGGUAUUCAAGAAGUGGAUAAUUUUUUAGAAAAGUGGAAAAGUCAGAAACAGUGCAUUACUAGCGCUAUUCUAAGCAAAAUAGUAAAUUAGGUACAGAUUUCUAGUAUGAUUGGACACCUGAGACUGAAGUAACCAAUGCCUAACUGCUAGACUUGGUCACUUCUUCUGCAAAAUGAUUAAACCUUCAGAUUUACUUUACCCUAAAACUCGACUAACAGAACAUGUCAGAUGAAGAACUAAGACUGACUCUUCAGUGGGGACAAGCCAUUCAGAAUCCAUGGAACCAGGAUUCUCAUUCAAUAUUAUACUGGUCAGGGUUCUCCAGUGAAACAGAACCAAUAGGAUAGAUGUAUACAGACAGGUAGAUAGAUAAUUGGAUAGAUAGAUACAAUGAGAUUUAUUAUGAGGAAUUGAAUGUAUUAUGAUUAUGGUGGAUGAGAAGUCCCACAAUCUGCCAUUCACCAAUGGGAGACCCAGAAAAGCCAGUGAUGUAAAUCAGUUUGAGUUCAAAGGCCUAAGAACCAGAGAAGCCAAUGUAGUAAAUCCCAUCCAUGGGCAGGAGAAGAUGAGAUGAGAUAUCCAUGCUCAAGCAGUGAGACAGAAAAAAGGAGCAAAUUCCUCCUCCUUUCGUGGCCUUUUGUUAUAUUCAAGCCCUCAGUGGAUUGAAUGAUGCUCAUUCUCAGUGGGAAGGCAAUCCACCUACUGAACCCAACAAUUUAAAUGCUAAGGUCAUCCAGAAACACCCCCACAGACACACCCAGAAGUAAUGUUUAAUCUGGGCAUCCUGUGGUCCAGUCAAGUUGACAUAGAAUUAACCAUCAUAAGUAAUCAUAAAUAUUAAUAAUUGUAAUUGAUACUAUGACUUAAGCACCUUAAAGUAUGCUUUACAUACUUUUCCUCAACUUUAACAUGGAAGAGUCAUGGGGUACCUACCUAGCUCACUUCAAUUUCCUUUUCCUGAGACCCAUCCUUACCCAGAUAUAGGUCCCAUAACUGUGUUGCUACUAUGGGGCUCCAUCUCCCUGGCCACAGCUGAUUGAAUUAGAGGGCGAUACUUGACAAAAAGGAGCAAAGCAGAUUCUAUUUCCACUAUACUUUGAAAUGGUGCCUAAAGACUAGUGUAUCAGUCACUUGAACAGAAGAGUUAUGAAGAGCUAUAGAGUGAGCAUCUUCCUCAUGUGGAAGGAUGAGAGAUGGACGGAGUACCUGUUGGGUGCUUGCUUGUCACAUUGUUCAGAUCCUAUUGAGACUAAUCUACCCUUUGGGUCCAUUUGAUAACUCAGUGCACUUCCCCAAAAAUUCUUUUUUGUUGCAUAAAGCUGGUUCAAAUUAUACUUGCUUCCUAUAUCAAACCUGUUUUAUAGAUGAGAACCAUGAGAAGUUGAGUAGCUUGCACAGGGCUACUGGCACAGGGCAGCAGAGCUGAGAUUAAAUCAACAUCAUAUUGACUCUCGAGCUUGUUAUUUAUCUCCUAUGCCAUUAGAAGAAAGUGUUUCCUUUUCUCCGCUAACUUAGAAUGCUCAGACUCCUGUAAAGUUAAUUAUAGCCACGUGACUUGCUUUGGUGAAAGAAACAUACACAGAGGUGACAUGAUUCAUUCAUUCUUAGUGGAGAUACUGAUUGCCAGCGCUUAGCUCUCCAUGCUGUUUCUUUUCCAGCACCUCCGAGAGCACAUCACAGUAUGGAGGAAACAUAAGAUCAAAGAAGCAUCCAACACUGAGCUAUCGCAUGGAGAACACCUGCCCGGGAAGCCACCUAAACUGACAGUGGGCUUCUCACGAGAAAUAAAAUUUGUUGUUUUGGGACUCCAAGAUUUUGGAGGUUUCUUUGUUUGACAUUGUCUAUCUCAUCCUACUAUAGUUAACUAACAACAUCUUAUGCUCCAGGCCGACUUCUGUCUUUGAUUUCAUAUUAAAUUAAUUCCAACUUCCUCUUCUCUUAGAGCAUAAUUUCAGUUAUAUAUGGCUGCAUAACAAACCACUCCAAAGCUGAAAACAACAAUAAAUUAUUAUUUCUCAUAAUUCUGUUUAACGAUAACCCAUGAGGAGCAAGUGAAGUCACCCAUAUUUUACAAAGGAGACUGGAGCUCAGAACUCUGGACACCUCAGAUCACACAACUAGUAAAUGGGAGAAGGGAAACUGCAGCUCAUGUCUGAUUACUGCAAGGCCUGUGUUUUUUGUUUUUUAGCAUUAAUGUGUCACAGUUACUCUGGCCAGCACACCCUGUGUUAUCUAACAAUGAUUUCCAUGUUCAAUCUUUUCAGGUUUUGAAAAUUGCUCUAUUCACAAAUGAAUAAGAAAAUAAUCCAUUAAAAUAUUUUUUCUAGAGCUUAGAUUAUUUAUAGGUUUUUUAAUUUGGAGGGACGUACCUAAUUCUUAGAGACCUUGAUAAUGAACCUGUAACAGAGCUAUUAGCAAUGUUUACUUACUGUAAAACAUUACCCAGCUAAGCCAGGUGGUUGUUUGGAAGUACACACCUAUGCAAACCCCGAACGGGGAGUUAUUUAGAUUUUGCAGUGCCCAGAUUUUCUUCUCAGGGAUAGAGCUU
This is a long non-coding RNA of Callithrix jacchus (white-tufted-ear marmoset), 3696 nucleotides long. The record is from Ensembl. NCBI's taxonomy places the organism in Eukaryota, Metazoa, Chordata, Mammalia, Primates, Cebidae.